This 530-nucleotide ribosomal RNA is filed under the name uncultured prokaryote. RNAcentral's name for it is "bacterial SSU rRNA". It matches the Rfam family "Bacterial small subunit ribosomal RNA", at positions 355 to 896 of the family's 1533-position model. The record is from RNAcentral.
UGGGGAAUAUUGGGCAAUGGAGGAAACUCUGACCCAGCGACGCCGCGUGCGGGAUGAAGGCCUUCGGGUUGUAAACCGCUUUCAGUAGGGAAGAAGCGAAAGUGACGGUACCUACAAAAGAAGCACCGGCUAACUAUGUGCCAGCAGCCGCGGUAAUACAUAGGGUGCAAGCGUUGUCCGGAAUUAUUGGGCGUAAAGAGCUCGUAGGUCGUUUGUUCCGUCGGAUGUGAAAACCUGAGGCUCAACCUCAGGCCUGCAUUCGAUACGGGCAAACUAGAGUUUGGUAGGGGAGACUGGAAUUCCUGGUGUAGCGGUGGAAUGCGCAGAUAUCAGGAGGAACACCAAUGGCGAAGGCAGGUCUCUGGGCCAAUACUGACACUGAGGAGCGAAAGUCUGGGGAGCAAACAGGAUUAGAUACCCUGGUAGUCCAGACCGUAAACGGUGGGCACUAGUUGUGGGAACCUUCCACGGUUUCUGCGACGCAGCUAACGCAUUAAGUGCCCCGCCUGGGGAGUACGAUCGCAAGAUUA